AGGUGUGUGCUCUAUAGUCCAGAU
RNAcentral lists this small nuclear RNA (24 nucleotides) under Arabidopsis thaliana (thale cress). RNAcentral describes it as "snRNA_06110". The record is from RNAcentral. Lineage: Eukaryota; Viridiplantae; Streptophyta; Magnoliopsida; Brassicales; Brassicaceae.